This 506-nucleotide ribosomal RNA is filed under the name uncultured bacterium. RNAcentral's name for it is "partial 16S ribosomal RNA". It matches the Rfam family "Bacterial small subunit ribosomal RNA", at positions 28 to 523 of the family's 1533-position model. The record is from RNAcentral.
GAUGAACGCUAGCUACAGGCCUAACACAUGCAAGUCGAGGGGUAACGAGAGGAAAGCUUGCUUUCCUUGUCGACGACCGGCGCACGGGUGAGUAACGCGUAUCCAACCUGCCCCCAACUAGGGAAUAACCUUGCGAAAGUAAGACUAAUACCCUAUACUUUCCUCAGAUGUCAUCUGACGAGGAAUAAAGAUUUAUCGGUUGUGGAUGGGGAUGCGUCUGAUUAGCUUGUUGGCGGGGGAACGGCCCACCAAGGCAACGAUCAGUAGGGGUUCUGAGAGGAAGGUCCCCCACAUUGGAACUGAGACACGGUCCAAACUCCUACGGGAGGCAGCAGUGAGGAAUAUUGGUCAAUGGGCGGAAGCCUGAACCAGCCAAGUAGCGUGCAGGAUGACGGCCCUAUGGGUUGUAAACUGCUUUUAUACAGGAAUAAAGUUAGCCACGUGUGGUUAUUUGUAGGUACUGUAUGAAUAAGGACCGGCUAAUUCCGUGCCAGCCGCCGCGGUAA